Molecule: ribosomal RNA, 2923 nt
Filed under: Klebsiella pneumoniae
Lineage: Bacteria; Pseudomonadati; Pseudomonadota; Gammaproteobacteria; Enterobacterales; Enterobacteriaceae
Description: bacterial LSU rRNA
Rfam family: Bacterial large subunit ribosomal RNA
Source: RNAcentral
GGGUUGUGAGGUUAAGCGACUAAGCGUACACGGUGGAUGCCCUGGCAGUCAGAGGCGAUGAAGGACGUGCUAAUCUGCGAAAAGCGUCGGUAAGGUGAUAUGAACCGUUAUAACCGGCGAUGUCCGAAUGGGGAAACCCAGUGUGAUUCGUCACACUAUCGUUAACUGAAUACAUAGGUUAACGAGGCGAACCGGGGGAACUGAAACAUCUAAGUACCCCGAGGAAAAGAAAUCAACCGAGAUUCCCCCAGUAGCGGCGAGCGAACGGGGAGCAGCCCAGAGUCUGAAUCAGCUUGUGUGUUAGUGGAACGGUCUGGAAAGUCCGACGGUACAGGGUGAUAGUCCCGUACACCAAAAUGCACAGGCUGUGAACUCGAAGAGUAGGGCGGGACACGUGGUAUCCUGUCUGAAUAUGGGGGGACCAUCCUCCAAGGCUAAAUACUCCUGACUGACCGAUAGUGAACCAGUACCGUGAGGGAAAGGCGAAAAGAACCCCGGCGAGGGGAGUGAAAAAGAACCUGAAACCGUGUACGUACAAGCAGUGGGAGCACCUUCGGGUGUGACUGCGUACCUUUUGUAUAAUGGGUCAGCGACUUAUAUUCUGUAGCAAGGUUAACCGUAUAGGGGAGCCGCAGGGAAACCGAGUCUUAACUGGGCGUUAAGUUGCAGGGUAUAGACCCGAAACCCGGUGAUCUAGCCAUGGGCAGGUUGAAGGUUGGGUAACACUAACUGGAGGACCGAACCGACUAAUGUUGAAAAAUUAGCGGAUGACUUGUGGCUGGGGGUGAAAGGCCAAUCAAACCGGGAGAUAGCUGGUUCUCCCCGAAAGCUAUUUAGGUAGCGCCUCGUGAAUUCAUCUUCGGGGGUAGAGCACUGUUUCGGCUAGGGGGUCAUCCCGACUUACCAACCCGAUGCAAACUACGAAUACCGAAGAAUGUUAUCACGGGAGACACACGGCGGGUGCUAACGUCCGUCGUGAAGAGGGAAACAACCCAGACCGCCAGCUAAGGUCCCAAAGUCAUGGUUAAGUGGGUAACGAUGUGGGAAGGCACAGACAGCCAGGAUGUUGGCUUAGAAGCAGCCAUCAUUUAAAGAAAGCGUAAUAGCUCACUGGUCGAGUCGGCCUGCGCGGAAGAUGUAACGGGGCUAAACCAUGCACCGAAGCUGCGGCAGCGACACUAUGUGUUGUUGGGUAGGGGAGCGUUCUGUAAGCCUGCGAAGGUGUGCUGUGAGGCAUGCUGGAGGUAUCAGAAGUGCGAAUGCUGACAUAAGUAACGAUAAAGCGGGUGAAAAGCCCGCUCGCCGGAAGACCAAGGGUUCCUGUCCAACGUUAAUCGGGGCAGGGUGAGUCGACCCCUAAGGCGAGGCCGAAAGGCGUAGUCGAUGGGAAACAGGUUAAUAUUCCUGUACUUGGUGUUACUGCGAAGGGGGGACGGAGAAGGCUAUGUUAGCCGGGCGACGGUUGUCCCGGUUUAAGCAUGUAGGCUGAUUAUCCAGGCAAAUCCGGAUAAUCAAGGCUGAGGUGUGAUGACGAGGCACCACGGUGCUGAAGUAACAAAUGCCCUGCUUCCAGGAAAAGCCUCUAAGCAUCAGGUAACAUCAAAUCGUACCCCAAACCGACACAGGUGGUCAGGUAGAGAAUACCAAGGCGCUUGAGAGAACUCGGGUGAAGGAACUAGGCAAAAUGGUGCCGUAACUUCGGGAGAAGGCACGCUGGUGUGUAGGUGAAGUCCCUGCGGAUGGAGCUGAGACCAGUCGAAGAUACCAGCUGGCUGCAACUGUUUAUUAAAAACACAGCACUGUGCAAACACGAAAGUGGACGUAUACGGUGUGACGCCUGCCCGGUGCCGGAAGGUUAAUUGAUGGGGUUAUCCGUAAGGAGAAGCUCUUGAUCGAAGCCCCGGUAAACGGCGGCCGUAACUAUAACGGUCCUAAGGUAGCGAAAUUCCUUGUCGGGUAAGUUCCGACCUGCACGAAUGGCGUAAUGAUGGCCAGGCUGUCUCCACCCGAGACUCAGUGAAAUUGAACUCGCUGUGAAGAUGCAGUGUACCCGCGGCAAGACGGAAAGACCCCGUGAACCUUUACUAUAGCUUGACACUGAACAUUGAGCCUUGAUGUGUAGGAUAGGUGGGAGGCUUUGAAGCGUGGACGCCAGUCUGCGUGGAGCCAACCUUGAAAUACCACCCUUUAAUGUUUGAUGUUCUAACGUUGGCCCCUUACCGGGGUUGCGGACAGUGUCUGGUGGGUAGUUUGACUGGGGCGGUCUCCUCCCAAAGCGUAACGGAGGAGCACGAAGGUUAGCUAAUCCUGGUCGGACAUCAGGAGGUUAGUGCAAUGGCAUAAGCUAGCUUGACUGCGAGCGUGACGGCGCGAGCAGGUGCGAAAGCAGGUCAUAGUGAUCCGGUGGUUCUGAAUGGAAGGGCCAUCGCUCAACGGAUAAAAGGUACUCCGGGGAUAACAGGCUGAUACCGCCCAAGAGUUCAUAUCGACGGCGGUGUUUGGCACCUCGAUGUCGGCUCAUCACAUCCUGGGGCUGAAGUAGGUCCCAAGGGUAUGGCUGUUCGCCAUUUAAAGUGGUACGCGAGCUGGGUUUAGAACGUCGUGAGACAGUUCGGUCCCUAUCUGCCGUGGGCGCUGGAGAAUUGAGGGGGGCUGCUCCUAGUACGAGAGGACCGGAGUGGACGCAUCACUGGUGUUCGGGUUGUCAUGCCAAUGGCACUGCCCGGUAGCUAAAUGCGGAAGAGAUAAGUGCUGAAAGCAUCUAAGCACGAAACUUGCCCCGAGAUGAGUUCUCCCUGAGACUUUAAGUCUCCUGAAGGAACGUUAAAGACGAUGACGUUGAUAGGCCGGGUGUGUAAGCGCAGCGAUGCGUUGAGCUAACCGGUACUAAUGAACCGUGAGGCUUAACCUUACAACGCCGAAG